RNAcentral lists this ribosomal RNA (454 nucleotides) under uncultured Anaerolineaceae bacterium. RNAcentral describes it as "bacterial SSU rRNA". It matches the Rfam family "Bacterial small subunit ribosomal RNA", at positions 916 to 1381 of the family's 1533-position model. The record is from RNAcentral. Lineage: Bacteria; Bacillati; Chloroflexota; Anaerolineae; Anaerolineales; Anaerolineaceae.
GACGGGACCCGCACAAGCAGCGGAGCGUGUGGUUUAAUUCGUUGCUACACGAAGAACCUUACCUGGGUUUGACAUAUAGGUUGUAGGGAACUGAAAGGGACCGACCCUUCGGGGAGCCUAUACAGGUGUUGCAUGGCUGUCGUCAGCUCGUGUCGUGAGAUGUUCGGUUAAGUCCGCUAACGAGCGCAACCCUCGUCGUAUGUUAUAUGUGUCAUACGAGACUGCCGGUAAAAGCCGGAGGAAGGUGAGGAUGAUGUCAAGUCAGCAUGACCUUUAUAUCCAGGGCUACACACACGCUACAAUGGUCUGUACAGUGGGUAGCCAAGCCGCGAGGCGGAGCCAAUCCUGAAAGCAGGCCUCAGUUCAGAUUGCAGUCUGCAACUCGACUGCAUGAAGCCGGAGUUGCUAGUAACCGCAGGUCAGCAAUACUGCGGUGAAUACGUUCCCGGGUCUU